RNAcentral lists this ribosomal RNA (511 nucleotides) under uncultured eukaryote. RNAcentral describes it as "bacterial SSU rRNA". It matches the Rfam family "Eukaryotic small subunit ribosomal RNA", at positions 21 to 550 of the family's 1831-position model. The record is from RNAcentral.
UAGUCAUAUGCUUGUCUUAAAGAUUAAGCCAUGCAUGUCCAAGUAUAAGCCCUUAUAGGGUGAAACUGCGGAUGGCUCAUUAAAUCGGUUGGAAUCUACACGAGAGUGUAUUUAGAUGGAUAACCACGGAAAAUCUGCGGCUAAUACAUGCAGUAAAGCCUCGAAAGGGGUAGCAUUUAUCAGCUUGAGAUGGAUGCAGGGGUAACUCUGCUUGGUGAGUCAUGAUAAAGAUGCAAAUCGUAUGGGCUUGCCCGACGAUGCUUCGUUCGACUUUCCGCCCUAUCAACUUUGGAUGGUAGUGUAGUGGACUACCAUGGUGUUAACGGGUGACGGAGAAUUAGGGUUCGAUUCCGGAGAGGGAGCCUGAGAGAUGGCUACUACUUCCAAGGAAGGCAGCAGGCGCGAAAAUUGCCAAACCAACAAUGUUGGAGGCAGUGACAAUAAAUAUCUGCGGGUACUAUGUAUCCGACUGGAAUGAGAUGGAUUUAAAGAAUCCUACGAGUAUCAAUUG